AGCUCCAAUAGCGUAUAUUAAAGUUGUUGUGGUUAAAAAGCUCGUAGUUGGAUCUCAACAGUCUUGAAGCGGUCAACUUUGUAGUUGUACUGCUUUGUAGACUGUGCUUUUGCUGGAGGUUUAGGGGUGCUCUUAAUCGAGUGUCUCUGGAUGCCAGCAGGUUUACUUUGAAAAAAUUAGAGUGCUCAAAGCAGGCUUUUCACGCUUGAAUAUUCGUGCAUGGAAUAAUAGAAUAGGAACUCGUUUCUAUUUUGUUGGUUUUCGGAAAUCGAGUUAAUGAUUAAUAGGGACAAUUGGGGGCAUUAGUAUUCAGACGACAGAGGUGAAAUUCUUGGACCGUCUGAAGACUAACUACUGCGAAAGCAUUUGCCAAGAGUGUUU
This 381-nucleotide ribosomal RNA is filed under the name uncultured eukaryote. RNAcentral's name for it is "SSU rRNA". It matches the Rfam family "Eukaryotic small subunit ribosomal RNA", at positions 587 to 969 of the family's 1831-position model. The record is from RNAcentral.